Non-coding RNA from Chelonoidis abingdonii (Abingdon island giant tortoise), 288 nucleotides. The record is from RefSeq and is a predicted model, not a curated record. Lineage: Eukaryota; Metazoa; Chordata; Testudines; Testudinidae.
AGGCUGCAUUUGGUGCUGAUGUUGCAUGUUUUUUUCCAUAGACUCCAAGUCCAGAAGGGACCACUGUGAUCACCCAGUCUGGCUGAGUUACACGGGGAUGGAUACCCCCCUGAGAGAGAUUUUCUAUGCCAGUGGUAUUUGAUGAUGUCGCUGUCUAUUUCUCCCGGGAGGAGUGGGACAUGUUUGCGGAGUGGCAGAAGGAGCUGUACCGGGAGGUGAUGACGGAGAACUAUGAAAUGCUGCUUUCUUUGGGCUCUGGGCCAGCCUGAAACUCUUAUAUCGUGGCAG